GGCAGGCGCUGGACUAUGCCCUCGUGAUCCAAUUUGAUUUGUAACCCAUCUAUGAGGUCGGUGCUAUUGACAUUUCCUUUAUAUAGAUCAGAAAACCGAAACCGAAAUAUGAGGAAUGGGCCUGAUUAAUAAGCUAUCCCACCAAUAAGCUGGAGGGAAGGUCUACAACUCGGCACUCAUUUUGGUUACUCUGGGAAGAAUGCAAGUUGGCUCUCAUUCUGUAUGCACGGCACUCAUUUACAGUGUAUGUUACACUCAUUCGUUCAGUCUACACUGAGCAUAGGGACUUCACUAGAAGCUGGAUGAGUGAGAAGGGUGAGAAGCAAUCCAUGCAUGCUUGGAACUGACAUCCCAGCAGAAGGGAUGGGUAAAGAAACCACCCAUUACGACAAACGUGGUAUGAGGAGGGCUUUGGCAGAUGGAAACCCUGGUCCGUGUGGAAAACCUACCCGUUUUCUGAUCUUGGAGUUGGCCCCCAUCUCCUCUCCCACAAAGCUGCUCCUCUGCCAAGGUUUCAGCACUUUCUCAUGGCCCUGGGGACCUCACGGUGGUGCCACUCAUCCUGACCAAGGACCUGCGCCUGCAGCAUGA
Molecule: long non-coding RNA, 591 nt
Filed under: Callithrix jacchus (white-tufted-ear marmoset)
Lineage: Eukaryota; Metazoa; Chordata; Mammalia; Primates; Cebidae
Description: lncRNA (ENSCJAG00000071819.1)
Source: RNAcentral